Molecule: ribosomal RNA, 465 nt
Filed under: Vreelandella stevensii
Lineage: Bacteria; Pseudomonadati; Pseudomonadota; Gammaproteobacteria; Oceanospirillales; Halomonadaceae
Description: partial 16S ribosomal RNA
Rfam family: Bacterial small subunit ribosomal RNA
Source: RNAcentral
CCUACGGGGGGCAGCAGUGGGGAAUAUUGGACAAUGGGGGCAACCCUGAUCCAGCCAUGCCGCGUGUGUGAAGAAGGCCCUCGGGUUGUAAAGCACUUUCAGUGAGGAAGAACGCCUGGUGGUUAAUACCCAUCAGGAAAGACAUCACUCACAGAAGAAGCACCGGCUAACUCCGUGCCAGCAGCCGCGGUAAUACGGAGGGUGCGAGCGUUAAUCGGAAUUACUGGGCGUAAAGCGCGCGUAGGUGGCUUGAUGAGCCGGUUGUGAAAGCCCCGGGCUCAACCUGGGAACGGCAUCCGGAACUGUCAAGCUAGAGUGCAGGAGAGGAAGGUAGAAUUCCCGGUGUAGCGGUGAAAUGCGUAGAGAUCGGGAGGAAUACCAGUGGCGAAGGCGGCCUUCUGGACUGACACUGACACUGAGGUGCGAAAGCGUGGGUAGCAAACAGGAUUAGAUACCCCGGUAGUC